Otolemur garnettii (small-eared galago) is the source of this 668-nucleotide RNA transcript. It is a transcript of the gene named non-histone chromosomal protein HMG-14 pseudogene, with no coding region annotated. Lineage: Eukaryota; Metazoa; Chordata; Mammalia; Primates; Galagidae. The transcript has a single exon. The record is from RefSeq and is a predicted model, not a curated record.
GGCACCCAGCACGCGCCUAGCCCGCCACCAAGAUGCAGAAGAGGAAGGUCAGGUCUGCCGAAGGUGCGGGGAAGGAAGAGCCCAAGAGGAGGUCGGCGCGGUUGUCAGCUAAACCUGCUCCUGCGAAAGUGGAAACGAAGCCAAAAAAGGCAGCAGCAAGGGUUAAAUCUUCAGACAAAAAAGUGCAAACGAAAGGGAAAAGAGGAGCAAAGGGAAAGCAGGCUGAAGUGGCCAACCAAGAAACUAAAGAAGAUUUACCAGCAGAAAACGGAGAAACUAAAACCGAGGAGAAUCCAGCCGCUGACGAAGCAGGAGAGAAAGAAGCCAAGUCUGAUUAAUGUCAUAUACCAUGUCUUAUCAGUGGUCCCUGUCUCCCUUCUUGUACAAUCCAGAGGAAUAAUUUUAUCAACUAUUUUGUAAAUGCAAGUUUUUUAGUAGCUCUAGAAACAUUUUUAAGAAGGAGGGAAUCCCACCUCAUCCCAUUUUUUAAGUGUAAAUGCUUUAAGAGGUGAAAUCAUUUGCUGGUUGUUUAUUUUUUGGUACAACCAGAAAAUAGUGUGGGAUGUUGAAUUAAUGGGAGGCUUUGACUGUCUUGGGUGUGAGCUUAACAUUCCAUAGAUGGGGGUUAGUUUUUAUAUCCUGUAAUACAAAGCAUACUAAAUGGCAAU